This 468-nucleotide ribosomal RNA is filed under the name uncultured bacterium. RNAcentral describes it as "partial 16S ribosomal RNA". It matches the Rfam family "Bacterial small subunit ribosomal RNA", at positions 28 to 507 of the family's 1533-position model. The record is from RNAcentral.
GAUGAACGCUGGCGGCGUGCUUAACACAUGCAAGUCGAACGGUGAAGGCGGAGCUUGCUCUGCUGGAUCAGUGGCGAACGGGUGAGUAACACGUGAGCAAUCUGCCCCUGACUCUGGGAUAAGCGCUGGAAACGGCGUCUAAUACUGGAUACGAGCUGCGAAGGCAUCUUCAGCAGCUGGAAAGAACUUCGGUCAGGGAUGAGCUCGCGGCCUAUCAGCUUGUUGGUGAGGUAACGGCUCACCAAGGCGUCGACGGGUAGCCGGCCUGAGAGGGUGACCGGCCACAAUGGGACUGAGACACGGCCCAGACUCCUACGGGGGGCAGCAGUGGGGAAUAUUGCACAAUGGGCGAAAGCCUGAUGCAGCAACGCCGCGUGAGGGACGACGGCCUUCGGGUUGUAAACCUCUUUUAGCAGGGAAGAAGCGAAAGUGACGGUACCUGCAGAAAAAGCGCCGGCUAACUACGUG